This 44-nucleotide small RNA is filed under the name Plasmodium falciparum 3D7. RNAcentral's name for it is "Pfa-npcR7638". The record is from RNAcentral. Lineage: Eukaryota; Apicomplexa; Aconoidasida; Haemosporida; Plasmodiidae.
AUAUAUGCAUAUACGUUAGAGGGAAAAAGAGUACAUAUAUGUGG